UACGGAAGGCAGCAGUGGGGAAUAUUGGACAAUGGGCGAAAGCCUGAUCCAGCCAUGCCGCAUGAGUGAAGAAGGCCUUCGGGUUGUAAAGCUCUUUUAGUGAGAAAGAUAAUGACGGUACUCACAGAAGAAGUCCUGGCUAACUCCGUGCCAGCAGCCGCGGUAAUACGGAGAGGGCUAGCGUUAUCCGGAAUUAUUGGGCGUAAAGAGCGCGUAGGCUGAUUAGUAAGUUAAAAGUGAAAUCCCAAAGCUUAACUUUGGAAUUGCUUUUUAAAACUGCUAGUCUAGAGAUUGAAAGAGGAUAGAGGAAUUCCUAGUGUAGAGGUGAAAUUCGUAAAUAUUAGGAGGAACACCAGUGGCGAAGGCGUCUAUCUGGUUCAAAUCUGACGCUGAGGCGCGAAGGGCGUGGGGAGCAAACAGGGAUUAGAUACC
Molecule: ribosomal RNA, 432 nt
Filed under: uncultured bacterium
Lineage: Bacteria
Description: bacterial SSU rRNA
Rfam family: Bacterial small subunit ribosomal RNA
Source: RNAcentral